This 373-nucleotide ribosomal RNA is filed under the name uncultured organism. RNAcentral's name for it is "bacterial SSU rRNA". It matches the Rfam family "Bacterial small subunit ribosomal RNA", at positions 526 to 896 of the family's 1533-position model. The record is from RNAcentral.
CGUAGGGUGGCAAGCGUUAAUCGGAAUUAUUGGGCGUAAAGGGCGCGUAGGCGGCCUUUCAAGUGACGGGUGAAAUCCCUCGGCUUAACCGAGGAACUGCCUGUCAGACUGGAAGGCUUGAGACCGGGAGAGGUGAGUGGAAUUCCCAGUGUAGCGGUGAAAUGCGUAGAUAUUGGGAGGAACACCAGUGGCGAAGGCGGCUCACUGGACCGGUACUGACGCUGAGGCGCGAAAGCGUGGGGAGCAAACAGGAUUAGAUACCCUGGUAGUCCACGCCGUAAACGAUGAGUGCUUGGUGUAGCGGGUAUCGACCCCUGCUGUGCCGAAGUCAACACAUUAAGCACUCCGCCUGGGGAGUACGGUCGCAAGACUG